AAUAGAUCUUUAUAUGAUAAAUGUAAUUAUCAAUUUAGUUGURUUACUUAUAAUUAUAUUGUUAUAUUUUGUUGGGGUGACAUGAAGAUAAAAGUAACUCUUUAUAAUACACACAUUGAUUUAUGGAUAAUUGAUCCGUUAUUAACGAUUAUAAGAUAAAGUUACCUUAGGGAUAACAGCGUAAUUUUUUUUGAGAGUUCUUAUCGACAAAAAAGAUUGCGACCUCGA
RNAcentral lists this ribosomal RNA (228 nucleotides) under Bicolorana bicolor. RNAcentral's name for it is "partial 16S ribosomal RNA". The record is from RNAcentral. Lineage: Eukaryota; Metazoa; Arthropoda; Insecta; Orthoptera; Tettigoniidae.